UCUCACCUGGCAGGUGUCGGUGCCUCCAGCCCAGACGCCGGCGCAGAGUGCUUUGUUGUUCAUGAGCCCCGCGUAGCCUUCAGAGCUGUUGCACAGGCUGGGAGGGAGGAUUCCCACAUGGGCUUCUUUUAGCACAGCCUAGGUGUGUUCCUGGACAUGUUUAGACAUGGACCUGACACAGACCCUGCCUGCUGCCAAUGGAUUGGAAUUUGAGUGGGUUAAAAGUUUGGAGACUUGGGUUUGAUGUAGAUUUUGCAAUUCUUCCUCAGAAGAAGCAUCAAUGAUAAUAUACCUGCCUUGUUCAAAA
This is a long non-coding RNA of Haemorhous mexicanus (house finch), 307 nucleotides long. RefSeq lists it as uncharacterized. The record is from RefSeq and is a predicted model, not a curated record. The transcript has 2 exons. Lineage: Eukaryota; Metazoa; Chordata; Aves; Passeriformes; Fringillidae.